This 420-nucleotide ribosomal RNA is filed under the name uncultured Bacteroidota bacterium. Its description in RNAcentral is "bacterial SSU rRNA". It matches the Rfam family "Bacterial small subunit ribosomal RNA", at positions 608 to 1032 of the family's 1533-position model. The record is from RNAcentral. Lineage: Bacteria; Pseudomonadati; Bacteroidota.
CUUAACGGUAAAAGUGCCUUCGAAACUGGAUUUCUUGAGUUCGGAAGAGGUUGGUGGAAUUCGUGGUGUAGCGGUGAAAUGCAUAGAUAUCACGAAGAACACCGGUGGCGAAGGCGGCCAACUGGUCCGAUACUGACGCUGAGACACGAAAGCGUGGGGAGCGAACAGGGUUAGAUACCCUGGUAGUCCACGCUGUAAACGAUGCAUGCUAGUUGUUGUCCCUUCGGGGGCAGUGACGCAGUUAACGCAGUAAGCAUGCCACCUGGGGAGUACGUUCGCAAGAAUGAAACUCAAAGGAAUUGACGGGGGCCCGCACAAGCGGUGGAGCAUGUGGCUUAAUUCGAUGCAACGCGAAGAACCUUACCUAGGCUAAAUCUGCGGGGACCGCUCCUGAAAGGGAGCUUCCCUUCGGGGCCGCGC